AAAAUUCUUCCAGCAAUACUCAUACCCAGCUAGGUCUCUUUCAGCAUCCCUCCAACCCUCAUAUGCUCGGACAAGAGCAAGAUGGUCACUAAAAUCGCGUGAAAAGUGAGCCUUGGCAGCAUCUGCAAGAUCUUUCUUGUCAAGUGGUGUCAAGAAGGGAUCUCGGACACUAAGACCAGCAACAAUAGUUAAUAUCGGGUCCAAACAAUUCAAAAUUGCUCCAAGU
Molecule: unclassified non-coding RNA, 226 nt
Filed under: Hevea brasiliensis (rubber tree)
Lineage: Eukaryota; Viridiplantae; Streptophyta; Magnoliopsida; Malpighiales; Euphorbiaceae
Source: RNAcentral